This is a non-coding RNA of Elaeis guineensis (African oil palm), 1226 nucleotides long. NCBI's taxonomy places the organism in Eukaryota, Viridiplantae, Streptophyta, Magnoliopsida, Arecales, Arecaceae. The record is from RefSeq and is a predicted model, not a curated record.
UGCGAAAAGGCUUGGCGAUGUGUAGUGUGUAGUCUCUUAUUUCAAUCUGCCCGUUCUUUCGACGCGGCAAGCAGAGAGAGCCAGCGAUCUCCCGGAGAGCGGCCAUGGAAGAGAAGACCCCAAGCUUCAAGAACCCGAUCUGCCGAGAGUACCAGGGCCACAAGAAGAAGGUACGUGGAGAGGAAAAGCAAUCUUUUGGGAAUGAGAUUUCUUAGAAUGCCUAUAUGAUUUCUUUCCCUUUCCUUUUACUUGCCCUGGGAUCCACGGAAAACCCUGGAUAUUUUGUCUCUCUUUUUUCCUAACGGGAUGAUGUCUUCUUCUAACGGUGAGGUUCACUUGGUGGCGUGGAAUUGUUUGGGUACCAAGCUCGCGUCUUUCUUUGUUGAUUACAGCGGCUAGGGAAGAGAUGACCCCAAACUUCAAGAACCCGAUUCGCAGAGUAUACCAGGGCCACAAGAAGAAGGGCAAAAUCAAAGAUAUUGUGUUAAAAGGGCAUACAGACACAGCAUAGAUCUUAGAUCAACUAUGCUGGGACCUCAAGCAUCCUGAUAUAGUUGCAUCUGCAGCCGUAGACAAGACUGUAUGCCUUUGGGAUGCUCACAGUGGAAAAUGCUCUUAACAUUGUUGAAUUCUAGAGGAGAAACCAUCAGUAUCACAUACAAACCUGAUGGAAUUCAUAUUGCUGUUGGAAAUAAGCUAAUUUUAGUUCAUUUAAAAGCAAUCUGAGGUGCUAAGGAUUGAUUUAUCUUGGCUUAUAUUGUGAGCCUAUGCAAAGUUAAAUGCCAAAAUCAUGGGAACCAGCAUCACACAUAACAUGUGACAUGGAGGAUGAGCUUCUAAUACUGGAUGUUCGGAAGUUUAAACCGAUACAUUGGCGCAAAAUUACUUAUCAGGUACUGUUGAGGUACUGGGUUAUCCAUCUCUUAAGCUGCUUCACACUUUGGUGGCUUGUCCGGCAGGUUGCUCUUAUAUCACAAUUGAUCUCAUAUGAAGGUGAUCAGGAUAUUCUUCUUCUUAUUAUUUUUAAUCUGCAUCCCAUUCUCAUAUCUACCGUUUGUGACAGUGGUUUUACUUUAUGAAUAAGAGAAUAGAAUAAUUACAAAAGUAAAUGCUAGGCACUUCCUCUUGCAUGGAGUUGAUGCUCUGGUCAUUCUCAUUUCAUUUUUCACUCGCCUUGGGCAGAACAUGCCCACAAUAGUUUCCAGAUCAGUUAGUACUAAAAUUAG